This is a non-coding RNA of Bos taurus (domestic cattle), 56 nucleotides long. NCBI's taxonomy places the organism in Eukaryota, Metazoa, Chordata, Mammalia, Artiodactyla, Bovidae. The record is from Rfam.
UGGCUCAGAUGGUAAAGCGUCUGCCUGCAAUGCAGAAGACCAGGGUUCGAUCCCUG